RNAcentral lists this long non-coding RNA (2217 nucleotides) under Paramuricea clavata. The record is from RNAcentral. Lineage: Eukaryota; Metazoa; Cnidaria; Anthozoa; Malacalcyonacea; Plexauridae.
AUCAAUUAUAAGUUUUUUUGUCCCUUUUGAAUUUCACGUUCUUAAUUUACGUUUACUGCUAACGCUAGCAAUAUUAAAAGAGACAAUAAAUUUUGUUCUACAAAGUGUAAGACGAAACAAAAUCCAGAAAAAAAACAUUUUAGGAAAUACAUGCAUGAUAAAUACAACACUUCGGAAACAUUUCGAAACCAUAAUUUUACUGGCUUUCGCGGACUGUGUUUCGUCUUGUAAAAUAUUAAAUUGUCUGGGAGGCGUCAGAAUAUCAGAGGUGUGGGACGAAUAAAAGCUAAACGCAGACAAGACUAGUAUACUUUUGAAAUGCUAAAGUUUUGGUCGAACGUUGAUAUAUGCUCAAAUCUCAUCCUCGAUGAUUACAACGAUUAUCUAAGAAUGCUAUAAAAAUUUUGUUCUUACAAGAUAUCUUCAAGCGCCUCCUGUCACUUCUAACAGCUCUCAUACUUUAUUGUGGUAGUAUAUUCAUUAUAUGAGGAAGACAUCAAUAAAGAUGGUAGAAAAUUAAAUGAUGAUGUAGUACCACUAGCUCACUGUUAAUUUUAAAGAGGUCAUUUAACUUCAGUGGUAUUAUUUUGUACCUCAUUGAACUCCACAGCAAACGAACCCCACUUGAAAUUAACAAUGAGUACAUGCUUCUAAAAUGUAGAGUUAUACGUAUAGAAAGAACAAGUUUCGUUCAUAAUGUUCUUAGUUAUCUAUCUUUAUCAACACUCUGACCAACGUUUUGGUGUACUUCCCUUCGUGUGGUGCCAGCAACACCCCAAUUGUACCACAUGGAUAUGUACAUACAGUCAUAUAGUCACUAUGUCAAUGAUUAUUUCAAUCUGGGCCGAUCAUCCCAAAUAUUUUGAAACGUUCUCAUGACCACUAGGGAUUCUUUAGACGGUUUCGUUAUUACAAGGACGUCCUUUCGAAACUUUCAAUAAGCAGCAGGUUGGUAUAAAGCUAGGUUGGUACUCCCUGAAUAAGAGUUUUAUUUCCAGCAUUUCAAACCAGUGUAAAUUAUCUACCGUUACAAAACUGUAUAAUCGCUACUUUAGUUCUUUCAGUAAAGAAAAUAUUUGUAUCUUGGUGGUUAUAAACUUGUAAAUCAGGGCCAACACAAGGUGCUCGUGGUAUGUGUUUUUUUAAUUUCUCCAACCAAUAUAACAGUUAUUUGCAUUUAGUCUUUCAAUCCUCGACUAAUCUCCCACUGGUCCUGGAGCGUACAAAAUUUUGUAGAGUCGCAUCACCCGACCCUUUGCCUUUGUAAUGUUUAAUAUAUUAGCUUUUAUGGCAUAACGAAAAGGGCACGACGUAGUUUAUAAACUCCGCUGGAAAUGAUCAAGUAAAUUGGUGUGUAGAUCUUGAAGGUAUACAGAUUUUUUCGGUAAACAUGACGUUAUUGCUUUACGGACUUUUAGCUUUCGUAAUGUAUUUUAGCCAUUAAUUUACUUUCUCAUAUCUCUCUUCAGUUAGGAUAUAUAUACGAGUGAAGAACACAUCUUGUUCCUUGUCACGCCUAAGGAACUAGGACCAAGGUUGACAUUUUGUUCGUAGUAUUUCUUUUUAAUUAAGAGUUUUACUCUCCAUCAAUCUUCCAUCACGUCGCAGAAUCGUCGUUGACUUUCGACCGUUAUUUUUCACAAAUACAGGAGAAAAUACUGAACAGUAUCACAAGCUAAACUAUGUUUUCUACGUUAGAAGUUCAUAUGCGUCCUGUUUCCAUUUCAAGAUUGUGUUCUAGUUAGUGAUCCGGUGAAUUAAGAAAUUGAUCUUUUUCCGCAAGGUAUUGAGAUGUUGCACGUAUGUGUAUGAUAAGUACACAUUUCUUUGCCAGAUGUUCGCACAAUAAAACCAUGGUAUUGUCAUUGGUAAACGCUUGUAUGGUACAUCAGGGAUAUAGAAUGGUCUUUCGAUCAUGUUCUUCAUCAAAGGCACAAACAAAUAAAAUACACAUAUGUUGUUCUUUCAUCAACCCAAGACCGCAACACGAGGCUGAUGUUUUGUUUUUGCCAAACGCUUGCUUCAUACCAUUUGCUAUGAUUGCAUACUAUUUUUACAAAUACAGAACUAAAUACUGCAUGGGCUGUGUCACACACUUAAAUAUGCGUAUUCGUAUAAAAGUUGAAAAGCAUCCUGUUUAAUUCUUUCUCUCGAUUAAAAUCUAUACAAACUUGGCAAAAAUACGUUCAUUUAACUGAAAACCUUCCUACAAUUAGC